CUCAAAGCUCUCUAAUGAAGAGGAGACAUCCUUUCCAACAAGUAAUUACAGCAGAGUUGAGAAGACUAUUGUUCAUGCAGCUGCUUGUGAGGUUCAUGGAAGUAGGACGGAGAGGAAUGCUGGGAGUGUGCAGGCACAGCAGAGCCACUGAAGAAUUUUUAAAGCAGGCAACUGAGGUUGAACUGUACAUUUUACAGAUGGUCACAUGGAAAGUGGGUUGGAGACAUAAAGACCAUUGAGAAGCUCCUGCAAGUCCAGCACUGAGGAGCAGAGGUGCUGACUGACCAACUAACCUGAUAAUGGAAGGGAAGGGGUUGAACUCAAGACCUUGCACUUGCCAAGCAGACGCUGUGCCGCUGAGCUACAUCCCCAGCUGAAAAAUGCCUCUUAAAUAGUCUUCUUGUUUCAUUGUAUAUGUGCUGCCGAAGGGAGCACUUUCCUGUUUCAUUGUUAUCUCCUCCUCCUAUCAAGGAUCCCCCAGACUACUUGAAGUUUCAGUGAUUUGGUAAGAAGACAUACAGGGCUCAGAAUAUAAUCAUACAGCUAUGAUUUAGUAUAGCAAAGACAUUCAAAGAAAAAUCAACAGAUGGAAAAGGGACAGGGGACAAAGUCCAGAGGAAACCAGACCCAAAUUUCCAAGGGUCUUCUACCACUGAAGUCACAUAGGAUGACUUUAUUUCCCCCAACAAUGCCUUGUGAUGACAUUAAGUGAGAUGUUAGUAACCAGAUAAACUUGCACGAGACUCAGCACCCAGGCCUUACAGUACAUUGGGAGCCAGUCAUUUAGCCACUCUCUGCCUCUAUAUAUCAAAUUUUCAGAUUCCUCAGAGGAAAGCAGAAUUGUUCUGAAUUGUUACGGUUUAACAGUUUUUGUCCUACUAAAAUUCAUGUGUUGAGGGCUGGGGAUUUAGCUCAGUGGUUUUGCCACCUGCUGCGCAAGCACAAGGUCCCGAGUUCAAUCCCUGGUACCAAAAAAUAAAAAUAAAAUAAAAUAAAAAAAUAAAAUUCGUGUGUUGAAAUCCUCACAAGUUGAUGUUAUUAAGAGGUUGGUCUUUUGGGGGGUGGUGAUUAGGUAAGGAGGGCAGAAUCUUCAUGAAUGGGAUUAGUGCCCUUAUAAAAGACAUCCAAGAGAGACCUCUCAUCCUUUCCACCAUGUAAGGACACAGCG
Molecule: long non-coding RNA, 1168 nt
Filed under: Heterocephalus glaber (naked mole-rat)
Lineage: Eukaryota; Metazoa; Chordata; Mammalia; Rodentia; Bathyergidae
Description: lncRNA (ENSHGLG00100040857.1)
Source: RNAcentral